RNAcentral lists this ribosomal RNA (484 nucleotides) under uncultured bacterium. RNAcentral's name for it is "partial 16S ribosomal RNA". It matches the Rfam family "Bacterial small subunit ribosomal RNA", at positions 30 to 507 of the family's 1533-position model. The record is from RNAcentral.
AUUGAACGCUGGCGGCAGGCCUAACACAUGCAAGUCGAGCGGAUGAAGGGAGCUUGCUCCUGGAUUCAGCGGCGGACGGGUGAGUAAUGCCUAGGAAUCUGCCUGGCAGUGGGGGAUAACGUCCGGAAACGGGCGCUAAUACCGCAUACGUCCUGAGGGAGAAAGUGGGGGAUCUUCGGACCUCACGCUAUCAGAUGAGCCUAGGUCGGAUUAGCUAGUUGGUGGGGUAAAGGCCUACCAAGGCGACGAUCCGUAACUGGUCUGAGAGGAUGAUCAGUCACACUGGAACUGAGACACGGUCCAGACUCCUACGGGAGGCAGCAGUGGGGAAUAUUGGACAAUGGGCGAAAGCCUGAUCCAGCCAUGCCGCGUGUGUGAAGAAGGUCUUCGGAUUGUAAAGCACUUUAAGUUGGGAGGAAGGGCAGUAAGUUAAUACCUUGCUGUUUUGACGUUACCAACAGAAUAAGCACUGGCUAACUUCGUG